This 432-nucleotide ribosomal RNA is filed under the name uncultured bacterium. Its description in RNAcentral is "bacterial SSU rRNA". It matches the Rfam family "Bacterial small subunit ribosomal RNA", at positions 958 to 1392 of the family's 1533-position model. The record is from RNAcentral.
AACGCGAAGAACCUUACCUGGGCUUGACAUGUUUGGAAAAGCAGCAGAGAUGUUGCGUCCGAAAGGGCCAAUCACAGGUGGUGCAUGGCUGUCGUCAGCUCGUGUCGUGAGAUGUUGGGUUAAGUCCCGCAACGAGCGCAACCCUUGUUCCAUGUUGCCAGCAGGUAAAGCUGGGGACUCAUGGAAGACCGCCGGGGUCAACUCGGAGGAAGGUGGGGAUGACGUCAAGUCCUCAUGCCCCUUAUGUCCAGGGCUGCAAACACGCUACAAUGGCCGGUACAAAGAGAUGCUAGAACGCGAGUUCAUGCCAAUCUCAUAAAGCCGGUCUCAGUUCGGAUUGAAGUCUGCAACUCGACUUCAUGAAGCUGGAGUUGCUAGUAAUCCCGGAUCAGCACGCCGGGGUGAAUACGUUCCCGGGUCUUGUACACACCG